UGACCAUUAUUCAUUUAUAUGCCUAUUGCCUAUACGGAACCCCUUAGGUAUCAUUGUAUAAUACAGUUGUAUGAAUAAUGCUCUUAAAACGACAAGGUGUAUUUUAUGAAAAUGAAUAUUGAAUAUUGAUAAUCGUAAUUGCAUGAAGUAGGUAGGUAGCGCGUAUAGGAUUUAAUUUCGAAGAGGGAGCGUUGUGUUUAAAAUAAUAGAUCAUAAUAAGUAAAAAGUAACAUAAAAAUAUAUAAAUGUAAAACUUGGUUAGAAGAACUUUCAUGCAGGUAAAAUUUUUGGAAGGAGCGGAUGUUGUGACCCCUUAACUUCCCCCGCAUGUAAGCUACAAUAGCAUAUAUAGGUAUAUUGAUAGACGCGCAGUCGUGUUCUUAUAUACUUCAUGAAUUAAGUCGAGUACAAUAUGAUUAAAAUAAAACAGAAUAACGUAAACUGCAAGUAAACGGGUAGUAACUAUAUCUAUGGCAUAGUUAUGAUUUUAUUCUGGUGGGGAGGAUGGAUAUUUUUUUAAGUAAACGUCGUGUGGGCCCAUUCCCC
This is a non-coding RNA of Cinara cedri, 546 nucleotides long. Lineage: Eukaryota; Metazoa; Arthropoda; Insecta; Hemiptera; Aphididae. The record is from the annotation of a GenBank genome assembly.